CCUCCUGGGUCCUGGAUGAAACCUUAGGAGCCAUGUGCUUAGGCAAUAAAUAACCAGCAAUAAAUGGCUUGCUGGGCAAGUGAUUGCAAGGUGAGGAAGUGUCAGCUAAACUGUUGCACUGCAAAGGCUGGGACUGGAAGGACAUCCUGUUUGGUGAGGCUCGGGACGAUGGACUACCUCUCUCAGCCGUUGUCUACUUGAGGCACUGAUGGAGUCAUGGCAGGCUCACCAUCCUCUGAAACUGCAUGCCUCUGGACAUGCUGUUGGUCCCACAACACAAAGGAAGGUGGGCUCCUUCAGAAAAAUCAACCCUUCUAAGAUCUGCCUGUGAGGCCUCCUGGGUCCUCACAUCUAGCUUAACCUUCUGUAGGUGUCUCACCAUUUUGAGAGGUUAUCCGGAGAGUCCUGCUACCACACCCCACCCUAGUUUUUCUCCAUCACUAGGGAACAGUCUCUGUAGCAAGCCAGCACAGAUGAGACUUGACCCAAGUCAUUCUCAUCCCUGUCUCCACAUCUAGAUUAGGGAUAUUGAAUGGUAGCAAUCCCCUAAAUGUCCCCAACUUCUUCCAUGAAGCCACCCUUGUCUGCCCCUGGUCUUCCCUUCUGCCUUAGAGCUUAAAAAGAUGACUCCCUCUAAAGCCCACCAAAACAGACUGGGGAGUGUCCUGGGAUCUGGGGCUGAGAGAAGAUUGAUCCUCCAUCCCAAGGUCACCACCGACCUUGGCGUGAAUCUGAAUGUCAUAUGGCCUCAGUGAAGCUCAGACCCAAACGUAACUCCCAGUUCACCGCUGGUGAGGUGAAAGCAGGAUCUAAAUGAAGGAGCGAAACUUGACUUCCUGGAGGAUGUUCCCAUAAUGCACAGCAGAGGGCUCUGGUCACAAAUAUAAAGGCUCCAGUUUCCCUGGACUGAAGGCUCUGGGCCCACGCCCGUCAGCUCAGCAUUCCCUCUCCCCUUUUCAUUAAUCUAUUAUACAACAGCUCACAAUGCUGAGAGACCAUUCCAGAGACUUACUUGUGUCACUACACGGGUAAUUAAAUUGUGUAGAUUUACAUUUUAAUUACAUACUGCUUUGUUUCUGCUUCCUUUUUUUUUUUUCCUGAGGGAUAAUACAUGUAUCCCCAGGAGUCAAUUACACCCUCAAUGGGGUGAAAUCUGGUACUUCUGUUCCACCCCCUGCAAAAUCUUACCUAUCAUAUACGUUUGUGCACCUCAAGAAGACCACAAUGAAUACAUAAAUAAAUGCAUAUACACCACAA
Long non-coding RNA from Mastomys coucha (southern multimammate mouse), 1257 nucleotides. RefSeq lists it as uncharacterized. NCBI's taxonomy places the organism in Eukaryota, Metazoa, Chordata, Mammalia, Rodentia, Muridae. The record is from RefSeq and is a predicted model, not a curated record. The transcript is spliced from 2 exons.